AGAAAUAUGGUAACAAAAGAGCUGACUAUAGGUAUGAUGCAGUAUCAGUGAUGUGACAGGAAAUGUUCAUCCCUCAGCUGGUCACCCAGCAUCCUUAUCAAUUCAAGACAUAUAAACCUCCUUCAAAUAACACUCUGCUAUCUUAUAAAGGGUAGAUCACCUGUGCUAUGUAGCUCUUAAACAAUAAAAACAGACCCUGGGAUCAUAUCUUGGGUCAAGUGGGACUGACUUUAGGUCUGUCAUAAGUUUAAAGGCUCAUGAGGUCAAAGUUUAUUUCAGUUUCCAUGGCAUAUUAACAUAACUAAAUAGUAUGGCAGAACAAUCAUGGCAAAACUAGACAGUUACAACUUGAGCCAGAUUUGGUACUUGAUUAGGUUAAUUAGUUAAAAAUAAUUGAGUAACUUACACGUGCAUUUCUUCCUGGUGGAAAGGAAUAUUUUUAGUGGUCCACCGAUUGAUCCAGUAACCAUGUUCAUCAAAUUCGCCAUCAGAGGUAGUUUUCUUUUCACUCUCAGUCAUAUUUGGUUCUU
Molecule: long non-coding RNA, 530 nt
Organism: Octopus sinensis (East Asian common octopus)
Lineage: Eukaryota; Metazoa; Mollusca; Cephalopoda; Octopoda; Octopodidae
Exons: 2
Source: RefSeq, a predicted model, not a curated record